RNAcentral lists this transfer RNA (83 nucleotides) under Ailuropoda melanoleuca (giant panda). It matches the Rfam family "tRNA". From Rfam's summary of the family: Transfer RNA (tRNA) molecules are approximately 80 nucleotides in length. Their secondary structure includes four short double-helical elements and three loops (D, anti-codon, and T loops). The record is from Rfam by way of RNAcentral. Lineage: Eukaryota; Metazoa; Chordata; Mammalia; Carnivora; Ursidae.
GCCUGGCUGGCUCAGUUGGAAGAGCAUGAGGCUCUUGAACUCAGGGUCGUGAGUGGUCAUGAGUUCGAGCCCCAUGCUGGGUG